Molecule: transfer RNA, 76 nt
Filed under: Gammaproteobacteria bacterium
Lineage: Bacteria; Pseudomonadati; Pseudomonadota; Gammaproteobacteria
Description: tRNA-Gly
Rfam family: tRNA
About the family: Transfer RNA (tRNA) molecules are approximately 80 nucleotides in length. Their secondary structure includes four short double-helical elements and three loops (D, anti-codon, and T loops). Further hydrogen bonds mediate the characteristic L-shaped molecular structure. tRNAs have two regions of fundamental functional importance: the anti-codon, which is responsible for specific mRNA codon recognition, and the 3' end, to which the tRNAs corresponding amino acid is attached (by aminoacyl-tRNA synthetases). tRNAs cope with the degeneracy of the genetic code in two manners: having more than one tRNA (with a specific anti-codon) for a particular amino acid; and 'wobble' base-pairing, i.e. permitting non-standard base-pairing at the 3rd anti-codon position.
Source: RNAcentral
GCGGGAAUAGCUCAGUUGGUAGAGCGCAACCUUGCCAAGGUUGAGGUCGCCAGUUCGAACCUGGGUUCCCGCUCCA